AAAGUAGUCUCCACAACCAGAAAGAAAGACUUUUUCAGACAGCUUGAAGAAAACACAUGGGUACAUGGAGACACAUUGGAUCUGCUAUUCGCCCACUUGCAGAAUAAAAUGUUGCAUCUCAAGCACCAUUGCAAGCGUUCUUUUAGAAUAUUACAUUCCUCUUUUCUGACUGGAAUCAAUAAACCAGACUGCAUUGUUUGGAACCACAUUUUUGAUACUCAUCUGGUGACACCAGAUAAUAAGAAAGCUGAAUGGACAGACCCAACAGCACACCUAACUAUAUGGACA
This is a long non-coding RNA of Cucumis melo (muskmelon), 288 nucleotides long. RefSeq lists it as uncharacterized. The transcript is spliced from 3 exons. NCBI's taxonomy places the organism in Eukaryota, Viridiplantae, Streptophyta, Magnoliopsida, Cucurbitales, Cucurbitaceae. The record is from RefSeq and is a predicted model, not a curated record.